GAUGAACGCUAGCUACAGGCUUAACACAUGCAAGUCGAGGGGUAACAAGAGGAAAGCUUGCUUUUCUUGUUGACGACCGGCGCACGGGUGAGUAACGCGUAUCCAACCUGCCUAUAACUAGGGAAUAACCUUGCGAAAGUAAGACUAAUACCCUAUGAUUUCCUUUGAUGACAUCAGAUUAGGAAUAAAGAUUUAUCGGUUAUAGAUGGGGAUGCGUCUGAUUAGCUUGUUGGCGGGGUAACGGCCCACCAAGGCAACGAUCAGUAGGGGUUCUGAGAGGAAGGUCCCCCACAUUGGGACUGAGACACGGUGCAAACUCCUACGGGAGGCAGCAGUGAGGAAUAUUGGUCAAUGGGCGGAAGCCUGAACCAGCCAAGUAGCGUGCAGGAUGACGGCCCUAUGGGUUGUAAACUGCUUUUAUACAGGAAUAAAGUUAGCCACGUGUGGUUAUUUGUAGGUACUGUAUGAAUAAGGACCGGCUAAUUCCGUGCCAGCCGCCGCAGUAA
RNAcentral lists this ribosomal RNA (506 nucleotides) under uncultured bacterium. RNAcentral's name for it is "partial 16S ribosomal RNA". It matches the Rfam family "Bacterial small subunit ribosomal RNA", at positions 28 to 523 of the family's 1533-position model. The record is from RNAcentral.